This is a long non-coding RNA of Prosopis cineraria, 680 nucleotides long. RefSeq lists it as uncharacterized. The record is from RefSeq and is a predicted model, not a curated record. Lineage: Eukaryota; Viridiplantae; Streptophyta; Magnoliopsida; Fabales; Fabaceae. The transcript is spliced from 3 exons.
CGACACAGAGAGUGAAAACAGAGAUGGCAAGCGCGACACCUGCGACAUAGCUGAUUUAGAAGGUGAAGCUCCAUAUUAGGAUACUUCAUAUGAGAUUUUAAGUAUUCUAAGACUAGCCCUAGUUAUGGGUUUGGUAUCGAGGCAGACUAACCGGGCAUCGAAAGGAGAACAAAAGGAAGAGUUGAAGUUAUUGUGCCACACGUCAAGGCGCAUAGAUCGUCUGUCGUGGCGUACAGCCAUUUCUAAGUAAGGGAGGACCUCUGUGCUAUGCGUCACGGCGCAUUGUGCAUCCGUCGUGGUGUAUGGCUAUUUUCUAUACUUUAUCAGACGAGAAAUGAGAUAGAAAAAGAAAGAAGAGAAAAGAGAGAAAGAAGAGGCGCACCAAAGCUCUGCUAAGGUUUACUUAGGAGCCACUUUAAGAGUAUUUUGAAGGCUACAAACACCCAAGGCUCUAGCUCUGGCGUUGAGAAGGAGAAGACUAAAGAGGCAGAGAAUUAGCAUAUUCAUACUGUAUGCCUCUAGUUUAGCUUUAAUUGUAUAAUAGUAUAUGGCUUGCCAAUUCUAGAAUGCAUAUUACCUCACUUGAAUUAUUUUGGUUGUUGAAAAUGUUAGAAUUGUAUUUUGGGCCCUUAGCCUUUGUGUAUAUUGACAUAUAUAUGUUUAUAGGGCUAAAAUACUAG